Long non-coding RNA from Bombus pyrosoma, 5187 nucleotides. RefSeq lists it as uncharacterized. The transcript is spliced from 5 exons. The record is from RefSeq and is a predicted model, not a curated record. Lineage: Eukaryota; Metazoa; Arthropoda; Insecta; Hymenoptera; Apidae.
UCGGUCCCAUCGCUAUUCCACGAUGGAAAGAAAGGAGAAAGAGGAAGGAACGAAGAGGCGUAGAGGGACGUACGGGGCAUCCAAGCAGAAAUCGCACGCGCAGGCGCCAUUUCGCAAACAUGGCCAGCCAUCUUGCGAUGCGUAGCGUUCGAACGGCGGAGAAGGGGUUGGAAUAUAACCGUUCUUGGUAUCGAACUGCGCUUCAGUACCUACGGAGACAGAGACAGGCAUAGAACGUCCUUUAACACCUCUGCAAUCGCUACGCGUUCUCCAUUUUUUCCCCUUUCAACCUCUUUUCUCUACUCUUCCUCCUCUGUCGCUCUUUUUCCCUUUCUUUACCUCCUAGUUUUACCAUUCCGUUAAUUUCUCUUCUACGUUCUUUUUACUUCGAUUCUUUCCUUUCAUCGCUAAAAUCCCGUUGAAGUUAAACAAGUAUGCGGCCACGCGAGUAAUUGAUCGCGCCAGUCGCGAGUCGGUGUGAAACUGAAACGAUACAUCGCGAUCUCCGCUCCGACGUCUCGAACAAGGAAACGUAAUAUAUCUGUCGAAAAUUUUCAAAGCCACUUUACUUCUCUCUUUCUCUCGUUUCUUCCAUAGCUGCUGAUCUUUUUGAUUAAGCACGAGCUGCUACACUGUGUAAUUAAGAGUCGUUGAUCGCUUACGCGUGACAUCGAAGGGUUGGCACGUCGAAAUUCGCACGAAACAGGUCUCGACGUUGUUUGAAAGCUGCCGAAUCGUUGCCUGCUCUCUGAUCAACGUGUUUUAACUCGGACCCUUUCUUUCAACGAAUAGUACGGUGAUUUCACGACGAACCAAUGUGGUGAUUCGAUAGACGACAGAAAAAAAAAUGUUUUGUUUCGGAAGUAGAAAGUUUUGCUGGCCUAUAAAUUGGAAAAAACACGUCGAUCAAAACGGGAUUUAAUCGACUUAAUAUAUGAAAAUAGCAAUCCCCUAUCGAAGAUCGAUGGUAUCGUGAGUUUUUCUUUUUAAAUGAUUUUCAAAGUAGCUUUUCGUUCGCGGCUGAUUAGAAAUUUCUCGGCGAACGAGUGUGGCUGGUCAUUUGUUAAAAGCGGCACAAAGCGUGCGCCAAAAACCGGGUCAUCCACUUCUCGCGAAAAAUCGAUACGAAAUGGUGGAACGCGAUUCCUGGUCUGACCACUGGUUGACUCGUUCCACUUGCCGCGCCGUGGAUAGUCAUUUUUCAAUGGCGAAUUUUGUGAUUCGCGCUGCACUGGGUUACGUUAGUUACGUCGCGCUUAAACCGAGUUUGCCAAUAUCGUGUCGUUAGACGACUCCAACGGUAUGAAAUGACGUUCAGCAAGAUCAGCAAGAAUGAUUUUCCGUCGAAGGAAACAAGAUGUUUCGUUCGAGAUAAUCCAAUUCUUCGAUGAAAAAUAUUCCUAGAGAUCGUAUAGAUAUUACUAUCCCUAAUUGUUUCCUACGUUUAUAUUUUGUCACCGUCACAUUCUUUACUCUCCAAUUUUUUUACGCGUCACUAUCUCUCUUCUCAUCCUUUGUUCGGACGAAUUAAAAUUCUUUUUAUCGUUCUAUUUAUUGGAUAUCGUACAACGACGGAUGCGAGCUCUUCGAACAUCAUUCUUCUGGAGCCAAUUCGUGGAUCUAAUCAGGUGCACAUGACAGUGAAAUAAUCGUCGUUAGAAAGCGAGACGUUGUAAGUCGGCCUCGAAUAAAAUUCCGUCGAAGCCAGCUGUAUCUAUUUGAUCGAGAAGUUCCAAUGCGAUACGAUUCGCGAGCAAGGCGACGUUCUCUACCUGUUGCACGUUGCUUUCAUAGGAAAUUGCCUUACCGACAUAUUGAACAUUGUCAUUCCUGUCUAUGGAUGGUAAUCCUGUGCAGAAACGUGCCACUGUGGGAUUACAACGCCUUCUUUUUGUCUUUUUUUUUUCAUCGUUAUCGGCCUCGUAUGCGCGAUAAAGUCACUCGAUGUUCUCAUCUGUAAACGCAUUUGUUCAGUGUGGUGCAAUUUAUCAACGUACUCUUUCUCUAGAGCUUAUUAUUGCGCCUGAUAUUUCCCCGCGUCUGACGGAAGAUCGUUUACCGUUCCGUAAAUGGUAUGCAGAGAAUAUUUACGAAGCUUUUGCUUUCCCUUUUGUUUUAAUUUUAAAAACAGGGGGAAAAGACCGUAAGGGAGUAGUUCUUGGACAUUCGUAGAAUUAAUCUUCUUGUAGUUCGGUGUAGCAACGAUAGGAAAAGUAUUUCAAUUAAGGGAAGGAAGUCGUUGAAACGAUGCACCGCGAAAUUGGUUCGUCUUGCUUUAUUAUUUUGAUCGUUUCUAAAGAAAUCUCGUAUUACCCUAUUCGACGUUUUAAUCGGGGGAGAAAAAUUAUUCGAUCGUUGGAAUUAAAAUUCCGGUAAGCAAUAUCAAUGUCGGUAAUUUUCGAUUUCUUUAAACUUUGGAUCACUGAACAGCCGAGAAAGAUUCUCACGAGGAAAAGAAUAGAUGGCUGGUACCAUAGCUACACACGUUUCGUUCUGAUAAACGUGGAUCGCGUCGAGGAAAUUAAUUCCGCUUCGUAGAAGGAUACUAAGUGUCUACCUGUUGCACCACGCUGCCAGACGAAACGGUCUCGAUCGUUUUUGGAGAAUCGCGAAAGUGAAGGAGAAAUACAGAGAAAGAAAGAGCAGGAGAGAACGACAGCACUUGGCGAAUGAAAAAUUUUACGCGUCUACGCGUACGAAGAAACCUGCUGGUACGUCGUUGCUUUCGCAACUUGUUGCUAGUCGUUCAGAGAUCUCUCCACUUCUCGAUUCCCGGUGCUGCUUCCUGCACACAGGUGCUGUAGUGGGACAAAAUUCUCGUCGUUUCCGUGACACUGACCCUUCGACGAUCGAUCCAUUAACGCCAGCGUGGUAUUUUCAAGAUACGUUCCUGUUUCCCUUCGACGAUAGAAGCCUCACCUCUAGAAUGAUACUAAUCGUAUAGCAAUUAUGGCUUGUACAUGGCGGCGCAAAACAGAAUCACCAACAGGAGUAUUAAAUCGAGCUUUCGCGAGAGUUCAUCGUGGACGUCGACAAUCGUUAUUUCCACGUUCUACGUUCGGCCGGGGCUGCAGCUGGGAAACGAGCAGACGAAAGUAACAGAGGAGAAUCGAGGGUGGUGGAGAAACGGACGAAGAAGCUCGAAGGGAAACGGGUGGCGAAGAAGCAAGGGAGAGAGAGAGAGAGAGAGAGAGAGAGAGAGAAAGAGAGAAGACUAGUUUUUCGACACCCCCGUUCCAGACUUCACGACCGAUUCGGAAUGCCGAAUUCACAGCCGCUCUUCCACUGCGGAUCAACCAAUAUUCCGAUCGCGCCUCCACGGACCUGUAGAUCUCUCGAAUAUCGCGUUUCGUUUAGACUUUUUGACGUUCGACCGACGCACUGAAAUUUGAAAGCGUUGCAGAGAAAUUCUCCAGACUGACAACGAGAAGGCAGACUUAAGAAGAAUAAAAAUAAAUUCGUCGGAAAGAACUUAUUUACGCACCACGUUACAUCGUUACGUUUGAGCGUUUCCAGUUAAACAGGACAUACUGUAUAUUCGGGUUUCUUACGCCCGGUGCAAAUCUCGAUUCACCGAUGAAUCUGGCAGAAAGCUUGCUCGAUCGUUUCUUCCGUGCAAUACCUGGAUCUCGUAGAUCGCGAGGGAUCUAUAGACGUGGAACUGCGCCGAUCUCGCGACUCGUAUGGAGAACCUUACGGGACGAUAAUGGACAGAUUUAUGAGACGGCUUAUCGAUCCUCGGGUAAAUCCAAUUUUCGAGGUCGACGCUCGCGUGCAGCCAGCAGCGUUUCCCUCGCGAGAUGCGUCGCGAGUUUCCUUCCGCCCAGGGAACGAGAAGUUAAUCGUCCCAAGAAAUUUCGAGACGUUCGCGUGGCUACAAAUUGAAAUGUGGACCAUCAAGCUAUAGGUAUAAAAAAACAGGCAAACUUAACGAUCAACGAGAAAGGGAAAACACGAUUUAAAGGAGCGACUGUGUCGAUCGUGUCGUUAGAUGUCUCGACAAAUUGGAAUAUCGAUUUUUGUUUCGGCCGACAGGCGACGGGCUAGGUCGAUGGAAACUGAUGAAUAUGCACUGUGUUCCUUGGGCUUUUGCUUUGAUCUCGCGGUGGAGUUUCUAUCGUUUUAUGACUUGUUUUAAUUGGUGAUUGUAAUUUCAUUUACAAUUUAUCGUUUUUCCUUUGCCACUGUUCCUUAAAAUUUACUAUAAUUUCACGCGAAAUGAACGUCGUUCGGCAACGUUUUCGUUUAAUGUACGAUAUACGAUUGAUUUACUUUUGCUGGUCCGAAUGAAUUUGCCUAGCAGAAAAAUACUACAUAUUUGGAUUUACUCUUUUUGUUUAUUUUACGCGAGCCGGGGCAUGUAAAUGGCGUAGAACGUUGGAAUUCGGAUAACCGAUCAAAGGUUGCAUUAUACCGCAACGAUAUGGAAUACGUACGAAUAGAUGAUAAUACUAAUACUGAUUCAAGGGAAGGAGGAGCAAAGUUACGUGGGAAAAUAACGUUGUCGUUGAAAUUUCCAGAUCGUAUCUCGAAAUUCGUUGGUCACGCGUCUCCCCAAAAGACGAGAAAUCGUUCGAGAGAUGGCAAUUAUAUUUAAAGAAACAGUGUCUUAUAAUCUAAAAAUAAAGCGUUUCCCACGAUAUAUCCGUCUUUUAAUUUACUUAAUAAUUUUCAAGCAAGAUCUCGACGCUUUAGAUUCCUAAUUACACUUAAAAGUAGAAAAGACUAAAAAGAAAGGAGAAAAGUCAUAAAGAUAACACAUCUAACCAUUGAACCGGUGGAUAGCAAUUAACGCCGCUCACCAGAGUCUGCCGUGGCUCAAGAAUCGAGCUCAUUCAGCGGUGGAAAUUAUUUCGGAAACUCGUUCAAAGCUCGUCGACCGUGGCCGACGAAGGACGAUGAAAACGAACGAACGAACGAAGGUAAAACUGCGGUCUGGUCGUUGAAGCUGGCGCGCUCCUUCGUCGAGAACGAAAGAAGGUGAAGAACAAGUGCGACAAGGCUACCACGGCGGAUCUUCAUUUCCGCGAACUCAGCCCUUGGCUUUCGGACUUCUCGAGCUUUUUCGUGGUUUAAGGACAGCAUCGAGUCAAGAACGUCUCUCUCCUCGCUCGCCUCUCAAAUCCCAUCACAAAGAAUAUCCACCCUCUGCUUUCUAUCUCUCGUUCCAAUUCACCCCUUGCCUCG